GUUAAAAAGCUCGUAGUUGGAUUUCUGGGAAGGCGCCAAUGCUAGCUUCUUGCUUUCGCAACGGCACCUUUCCAUCCUUCUGUUAGCGCCUCUUGGCAUUCAUUUGCUGGUGGCGGGCUCAGAUAUUUUACCUUGAGAAAAUUAGAGUGUUUCAGGCAGGCUACGCCGGAAUACAUUAGCAUGGAAUAAUGGAAUAGGACUGAGGUCUCUUUGUUGGUUUGAGGGACUCCAGUAAUGAUUAAUAGGGACAGUUGGGGGCAUUAGUAUUUAUUAGUCAGAGGUGGAAUUCUAUGAUUUGAUAAAGACUAAC
RNAcentral lists this ribosomal RNA (310 nucleotides) under uncultured eukaryote. Its description in RNAcentral is "SSU rRNA". It matches the Rfam family "Eukaryotic small subunit ribosomal RNA", at positions 618 to 940 of the family's 1831-position model. The record is from RNAcentral.